AUUGAACGCUGGCGGCAGGCUUAACACAUGCAAGUCGAGCGGGGGAAGGUAGCUUGCUACCGGACCUAGCGGCGGACGGGUGAGUAAUGCUUAGGAAUCUGCCUAUUAGUGGGGGACAACAUCUCGAAAGGGAUGCUAAUACCGCAUACGUCCUACGGGAGAAAGCAGGGGAUCUUCGGACCUUGCGCUAAUAGAUGAGCCUAAGUCGGAUUAGCUAGUUGGUGGGGUAAAGGCCUACCAAGGCGCCGAUCUGUAGCGGGUCUGAGAGGAUGAUCCGCCACACUGGGACAGAGCCACGGCCCAGAGUCAUACGAGCGGCAGCAGUGGGGAAUAUUGGACAAUGGGAGGAACCCUGAUCCAGCCAUGCCGCGUGUGUGAAGAAGGCCUUAUGGUUGUAAAGCACUUUAGGCGAGGAGGAGGCUACUCUAGUUAAUACCUAGGGAUAGUGGACGUUACUCGCAGAAUAAGCACCGGCUAACUCUGUGCCAGCCGCCGCGGUAA
RNAcentral lists this ribosomal RNA (501 nucleotides) under uncultured bacterium. RNAcentral's name for it is "partial 16S ribosomal RNA". It matches the Rfam family "Bacterial small subunit ribosomal RNA", at positions 30 to 523 of the family's 1533-position model. The record is from RNAcentral.